CUCUAUGCUGGGCUGCCCUGUAUUUCCAUCCUUCUCCUGAUACAGCUGUUGAUCUUGCUCUGGAGAAAGUGCCCCAUCAGAGGGAGAGCUGUGCAAAGAGGGAAUCCAAUACCUAUGAGGCAGAUCCCACAGACUGAAUAUGCGACUCUGACGUACAAGAACAGAAACGCUCCUCUGUGACUGAUGCAGUCUCACUAAAGUGGUCUAUAUUUGUUAAAACAAGAG
Trachemys scripta elegans is the source of this 225-nucleotide long non-coding RNA. RefSeq lists it as uncharacterized. The transcript has 3 exons. The record is from RefSeq and is a predicted model, not a curated record. Lineage: Eukaryota; Metazoa; Chordata; Testudines; Emydidae.